Molecule: ribosomal RNA, 253 nt
Filed under: uncultured bacterium
Lineage: Bacteria
Description: partial 16S ribosomal RNA
Rfam family: Bacterial small subunit ribosomal RNA
Source: RNAcentral
UACGGAGGGGGCUAGCGUUGUUCGGAAUUACUGGGCGUAAAGCGCGUGUAGGCUGCUCAGAAAGUCGGAUGUGAAAGCCCUGGGCUUAACCUAGGAAGUGCAUUCGAAACUUCUGAGCUUGAGUUCUGGAGAGGAAGGCGGAAUUCUCGGUGUAGAGGUGAAAUUCGUAGAUAUCGAGAGGAACACCGGUGGCGAAGGCGGCCUUCUGGACAGUGACUGACGCUGAGACGCGAAAGCGUGGGGAGCAAACAGG